GAGCUAUGAUGAACCUUGCAAUCCUGUGGUUGAAGUUCAAUCAUACUUAUCUGAUCUAACGGAUGAUAUAUGUGCCCCUGAGCUC
This is a small nucleolar RNA of Neltuma alba, 85 nucleotides long. RefSeq annotates it as small nucleolar RNA snoR114. The record is from RefSeq and is a predicted model, not a curated record. NCBI's taxonomy places the organism in Eukaryota, Viridiplantae, Streptophyta, Magnoliopsida, Fabales, Fabaceae. The transcript has a single exon.